Molecule: long non-coding RNA, 1754 nt
Organism: Cygnus atratus (black swan)
Lineage: Eukaryota; Metazoa; Chordata; Aves; Anseriformes; Anatidae
Exons: 3
Source: RefSeq, a predicted model, not a curated record
GAAUUAUUUUCUGUCUGCAUGGAGUGAACUCCGUCUUCAAAUGAAUGGCUUUGUUUAGAGUGAGUCUGGUUUUCUUUCAAUGCGGACACGGGAGUCUUCUUUGCUGUGGAGUUGUAAUACAUAGAGCAGAGCGAUUGGUAUUCUAAUGUGGAGAAUGGCUUUUCCCGAGCCUCCCUGCGGUGGAGGAGCUCGCCUGGCUGCUGUGCUCUUCUGAGCUGCAGAAAGAAUGCAGCACGAUCCGCUCAAUAGGAGGAAGCUCUUCUUUUUUUCUGCCCUGAAAAAAGUUUGUGCACAGCCCACGCUUCUGGAGAGAAUUUCUGUCAUGAUGGCUUCCAUAGGGUGCUUGGUCUUCCAGAACAUUCUGCCUGAAAAAUGAGUGCUCUUCGUUUUAAAAUGACUUGAGGAGAUGCUUCAACAGAUGAAUUGCAUUCCUAAGACAGCAAAACUAUGCUUAAAGUCAAUAACAGAGCAUCUGCAAGAUCUUUUAAAAUAUGUGAGAAGACGCGCAACUGAUUGCUUUAGUCCCUAGGGAAGGCUCUUUUUUUCUGGUACUAUUUGGAGAAAUAAAACUGAAAUUAGUAUAAACAACUUCAGAAAAGCAUGAUACAGAUCUUACUACUUUAAAGGUGUGUUGCAAAUUCCAUUCAGCAAAUAUGACUUACUUAUAUUUCAGUAUUUUUGAGUGAAUCAAUGAUAUCAAGCGUUUGUAAACAGUCUAAGUGUCUGUCAGGGGAAUGGUAACUUCCUCAGAAAUGCUGGAGAGUAAGAUCUUCAGGGUAGGGACUGUGCAUGGAGAAAUGUGGGGUCUGGUAAAUCAUCCUUUUGGUAAUAUUUAUCUCUGUGAGGACAGGGGCAGAGGGCAAGUGCAAUUAAUUCCCUGAUCCUGGGGUUGCCUGGAGAUAAGCUCACGCCUGUCACAGCUUCAGGGGGUUGCAUUUCUUUGGUACUGGCAGGAGCCUCUGGGGGCCGUUAUGGGAGCUAGAAGUUGCUGUAACACAGGAAUGUCCUAGCUAGUGGGUACCCGCUCUUGUCAUUCAUCUUGCUAGAAGGACAGAAACUCUUGUGGAGAUGUCACAGAGAGAGCCUUGCUCACCCAGUACUUAAAGAGGAGAGCUGCUAUUCCAAGGAUAUUUCCUCAAAGGGCAGCAUGGAUGAUUUACAGUCCUCAUUAGGCAUAAGACAAGAUAUUUUUUUUUUCUUUAAAUGCACACAAUAAGUAUUUGCACGAAGUUAGAAGCCUUCUGUAGAGCAGUGUAGCUUACCUUUAAUUAUUAGUGGUUUGGUUUCUAGCUCUUAAACGUGUUACUUCUUCCACCAAAGAAAUGUCUCUGAGAAAUUCAUUACCAUCUCUCCAGAUAUGCUGUUUAAUUUCCCAGGUUGUCAGCUCCUGCACCGUGUUUUCUCUAAGAGCCAAGCACAUAAUGUGCACCACUGAGAUUCUUGUCAGUACUAUUAAAUGAAGCAAAUGAAGCUGGCCUUGCUAGUGCAGCAAAGUUAGUAUGUAUAUGCUAAAGCCACCAUCUUCAUGGGUUCCCUUAUCCUGCCAGUUCUGCCCAUCUGAUUUGGUUACUUGCAAAGAGAGUUGAUCCACUCAAAUAAAAAUUAACAGAAUCUCCAAGCAGUAGUAACUUUGUCUUUUCCUUAACAAGUAUGGUUUUGUUAUAUUGUUGCAGGAGUUAUAAUCCUGGUUGUUAUUGGUGGGUUUUUGAAAAGAGGGGGAAAGAUACUUACCAUCUGACCCUGUUGAUGGUGUU